AUUGAACGCUGGCGGCAGGCCUAACACAUGCAAGUCGAGCGGUAGCACAGAGAGCUUGCUCUCGGGUGACGAGCGGCGGACGGGUGAGUAAUGUCUGGGAAACUGCCUGAUGGAGGGGGAUAACUACUGGAAACGGUAGCUAAUACCGCAUAACGUCGCAAGACCAAAGUGGGGGACCUUCGGGCCUCAUGCCAUCAGAUGUGCCCAGAUGGGAUUAGCUAGUAGGUGGGGUAAUGGCUCACCUAGGCGACGAUCCCUAGCUGGUCUGAGAGGAUGACCAGCCACACUGGAACUGAGACACGGUCCAGACUCCUACGGGAGGCAGCAGUGGGGAAUAUUGCACAAUGGGCGCAAGCCUGAUGCAGCCAUGCCGCGUGUGUGAAGAAGGCCUUCGGGUUGUAAAGCACUUUCAGCGGGGAGGAAGGCGGUGAGGUUAAUAACCUCAUCGAUUGACGUUACCCGCAGAAGAAGCACCGGCUAACUCCGUGCCAGCAGCCGCGGUAAUACGGAGGGUGCAAGCGUUAAUCGGAAUUACUGGGCGUAAAGCGCACGCAGGCGGUCUGUCAAGUCGGAUGUGAAAUCCCCGGGCUCAGCCUGGGAACUGCAUUCGAAACUGGCAGGCUAGAGUCUUGUAGAGGGGGGUAGAAUUCCAGGUGUAGCGGUGAAAUGCGUAGAGAUCUGGAGGAAUACCGGUGGCGAAGGCGGCCCCCUGGACAAAGACUGACGCUCAGGUGCGAAAGCGUGGGGAGCAAACAGGAUUAGAUACCCUGGUAGUCCACGCCGUAAACGAUGUCGAUUUGGAGGUUGUGCCCUUGAGGCGUGGCUUCCGGAGCUAACGCGUUAAAUCGACCGCCUGGGGAGUACGGCCGCAAGGUUAAAACUCAAAUGAAUUGACGGGGGCCCGCACAAGCGGUGGAGCAUGUGGUUUAAUUCGAUGCAACGCGAAGAACCUUACCUGGUCUUGACAUCCACAGAACUUUCCAGAGAUGGAUUGGUGCCUUCGGGAACUGUGAGACAGGUGCUGCAUGGCUGUCGUCAGCUCGUGUUGUGAAAUGUUGGGUUAAGUCCCGCAACGAGCGCAACCCUUAUCCUUUGUUGCCAGCGGUCCGGCCGGGAACUCAAAGGAGACUGCCAGUGAUAAACUGGAGGAAGGUGGGGAUGACGUCAAGUCAUCAUGGCCCUUACGACCAGGGCUACACACGUGCUACAAUGGCAUAUACAAAGAGAAGCGACCUCGCGAGAGCAAGCGGACCUCAUAAAGUAUGUCGUAGUCCGGAUUGGAGUCUGCAACUCGACUCCAUGAAGUCGGAAUCGCUAGUAAUCGUAGAUCAGAAUGCUACGGUGAAUACGUUCCCGGGCCU
This 1361-nucleotide ribosomal RNA is filed under the name uncultured bacterium. Its description in RNAcentral is "bacterial SSU rRNA". It matches the Rfam family "Bacterial small subunit ribosomal RNA", at positions 28 to 1381 of the family's 1533-position model. The record is from RNAcentral.